GCUCCGAUGGCCUAGUGGUUAGAGCGUCCUCUUCGGAUGCUGGGGGUCGUGGGUUAGAUCCCCGGUCGAGUCA
Non-coding RNA from Potamilus streckersoni, 73 nucleotides. Lineage: Eukaryota; Metazoa; Mollusca; Bivalvia; Unionida; Unionidae. The record is from the annotation of a GenBank genome assembly.